RNAcentral lists this non-coding RNA (758 nucleotides) under Mordella atrata. Lineage: Eukaryota; Metazoa; Arthropoda; Insecta; Coleoptera; Mordellidae. The record is from RNAcentral.
AUAAAGUUUUAUUUUGGCUUAAAGAUUAGUUAAUUGAUUUUAAUAUAUGUGUGUUUUGUUAUUUAGAGAGGGCGUUAUUGCAGUGUUUAGAAUUAAAAUUUUAAAAGAAAUUUUGAAUUAGAAAUUUAUUUUAGUACAAACAAAGGUUGUGCCAGCAGUUGCGGUUACACAAUCUGUGUAAACUAAUUUUUUCUUAUCCAUUUAAGUUGAAUAUGAAUUAAGCUUAUUGAUAAAUUUAUGGGGUGAAAUUUUAAAUUUAUUUUUGGUUUGGUAUCGGUUGUUGAAGCUGGGAAAUUUUUAUUUAAACUAGGAUUAGAUACCCUAUUAUUUUAAAUGUAAUGUUUAAGUUGGAAUUAGUAUUAGUUAUGUUCUUGAAAUUUAAAGAAUUUGGCGGUAUUUCAGUCUAUUCAGAGGAACCUGUUUCAUAAAUGAUAGUCCACGAUAAAUUUUACUUUAUCUUUAAGUUUGUAUAUCGUCGUAUUUAGAAUAUUUUUGUAGAAGUUUAAUGUUCUUGGAUUUUAAUUAAAAAGUAGUUCAGAUCAAGGUGUAGUUUAUGAUAAAGUGGAAAUGGGUUACAUUAGAUUAUUUUUGGUUUUGAGGUUUAAAAUAUUAAUUAAAUUGGAUUUGAAAGUAAUUACUUGAAUUUUCUUGUGAUGAUUUUAGCUCUGAAAUAUGCACAUAUUGCCCGUCACUUCCGCUAUUUGUUGUGGAAUAAGUCGUAACAAAGUAGGCUUAUUGGAAAAUGAGUCUGGAAAGAU